Ornithorhynchus anatinus (platypus) is the source of this 9307-nucleotide long non-coding RNA. RefSeq lists it as uncharacterized. NCBI's taxonomy places the organism in Eukaryota, Metazoa, Chordata, Mammalia, Monotremata, Ornithorhynchidae. The transcript has 5 exons. The record is from RefSeq and is a predicted model, not a curated record.
CCUUUUAAGCCCCUAGCUCAUCCCUCCUGCUGUAUCGCAGGUCUUUGGGGCCAGGUAGAUGGAGGAAAAAAAUUAGUUUCCUUCAGGCAAAGAAUCUCCUGCUUUUAUUUAUCGUCUUAAGGUUUUCACGGCCUGAAAGGAUCCUAUUUGGGUAGAUAAGGAGAAUUCCUGGGCUGCAAGGAAGUUUGACUCGUAUCCUAGCCAGACCCUCAUUUGCAAAGUGUAUUUCUAGCCACUGCGAAUUUCACCGCACCACAGCAAUGGGCAAUCUCAGUUGGGAAAACUCCCCUUGAAUGGAAAUUUCCUUCCUCCAUAUCUAUUUAGGAAGCAAAUCAGAUGUCUUCUCCCGUGGGUCCCCUUUUCCUGACUCCUGACUCUCUCCUGACUCCUCACAUUGGAAUCCUUGUUCCUGGGAGGUUUGAAAUUUGAAGUACCCACUUGAACCACGGCUCCAGGAGAUGGGGGGAAGCAGCCGAGGAGGAAGGAGGAGACUCGAAUGCCCUGACCACCCCAGUACCAAACAAGCCGGCCAGGGAGAUCCCAGCCGCAGUGGUGAGGCCCAAAAUGGUAGGAGAAAUUCUUCGCUUGGACUGAGUGAGAUUAUUAUCGACAGGUUCUCAGGGAGAUCGAAGGAAUGAUAUGUGGGUGUGAGGGAUUGACUGUGUACCUGGGUACCCGGGAAAUUUUGGCUUAUUGACUCAUCCAAGUUUUAGCUUUCUUUUUUUUUCCUGGAAGAAAAGAAAUGAAGAAAGCGUUGUAAUGUCUGUAAGAAGUCCCAAACGAAGGUCAGACGCCACUGUGUUACUACUCCUACUCUGCAGUGAGGUCGAGUUGCCUUUUAGAUACCUCUGGGAGGGAUUCGGGACAAGAGAGCCGCACCCAAGAGGAAGAGGACAAGGCAGAUGUCGACUGGGGGAUCACGCCAACACGUGGAGACCGGGACACCCCUGAGAGGGGAUGGAAGUCGUCCUGUCCAUCCGAAAAAAAAUAAGUAUCGAAUCAACUACUAAUCCCCAAACUCUGGGAAAAAUUUCCUGCUAGUAUCAAAUCAUUUGAACCAGGCGCAAUCUCUCUCCCAUUUUUAGAUUCCAGAUGAAAAGAUGUUUGGAGUUUUCCUCCCAGAAUAUUUUCCCAAUCCAUUUUCAGGAGAAAGAACUCUGGUUAGGAUGUUGCUUUUACUCCUCAGAAUCCAGUCAGAGGAGAGAGAGGACAUGCGGGGAGCUUUUAAUUAGGAAUAAAUAUAGGGAAAGUCAAAGAGAGAUUAAAAAGAGAGUACUGGUAGGAUGUUAAAAGUAGAUUAAAAAAACCCUGAAACUUCACUGUAAAUUUCCCAGGGAAAUUUACCUCCUGUCCCCUUCCAAAGAAGGAAUAAAGCAGCCUAAGACGAGGCUCCCCGCCCUGUAGAACAGUUCGCUCUCCUGACUACUGGGAUUGGGAUUAUAUUCCAUGUGAGGCUUGGAUUUGUUAUUAGGAGAGAGGCAAGAAUAUUUUUGCACGUCCUCUAAGGGUGUGUUUCUGAAUGUGAUGUGGAAAAGAAUUCCUGCUGUAAAGUGGUGGUAGAGCCCGAGUUCUAACCCAGGUGGACAGUUUUCAGAGACUUCAGCUACCCACGUCUGGGAGCGCCCCCAACCGGCAGGCAUCUCCCCGGGCGGAGAACGGCGGCCUCCGACAUCGGCCGAAGCUGACCACCAGGAGAGCGAGAAGGGCUAGAUGAAAAGAUGCUGGCAACAGCCAAGGACCGCGGCCUGAUUUCCAAACCUAGGAUUGGCUCGGCUUGUCCAAGGCUACCGGAAGAAUGAAGACUGCCGUGAGAGAUGACCUUCCUUCUGGAUCGGGCGGCAAGUGGUGGAUAAAGGGAAAACCCUUUUAGGCCCCUAGCUAAUCCCUCCAGCUGUAUCCCAGGUCUUUGGGGCCAAGAAGAUGGAGGAAAAAAAUUAGUUUCCUUCAGGCAAAGCAUCUCCUGCUUUUAUUUAUCGACUUAAGGUCUUCACGGCCUGAAAGGGUCCUAUGGGGGUCAAAAAAAGGAGAAUUUUCUUUUAGGCACAAACUCUCUGGGUUAUUGGAUUACCUAAGGGCUUAAAAGGCUUUCAAAGAAAAUACAUGAGGAGCGAAAGGAGAGAUCUGCCGUAUGGCGAAGCCGUCUUCUGUAUGUUAGUCCACCUCAUGUCUCCAAGGCCUUUUAUUGGAGAAUACAGCGAGAGUUAUUGAGGUGUCAGAGGAGAAAGCUUUUUGUACCUGCACAAAUUCUCCAGAUUUCAUUUCCCUCCCUUGGGUCAUCAAGGCCUUCAAAAGAAUGUUUGAGGUGACAAGGGAGAAAUUUGCUUCAAGCGAAUACUCUCCACCUUUUCUCUCUCUGUCGAAGGUCUUCAAGGCCUCCAAAGAGAAUAUUGGAGUGAAAAGGAGGAAAUUUGCUUUGUCCAAAACAAUCUGCUCUUUUCUCUCUUCUCACGGUCUUCAAGGCCUGAAAGGACAAUCUAUGGAGUUCAAAAAAGAAAAAACGGGAAUUUUCCUUUGUGCAGAAUCUCCCUGCUUCUCCCUCCACCUAGGGUCUUCAAGGCCUCUGAAGAGAAUACUGGGGGAGUAAAUGGAGAAAUGGCUUGUUGCAGAUCCAUCUCCUGUCCAUUACUCCACCUCAGGCCUUCAAGGCCUCUGAACGGAGAAUGAAUGAGAGACUUUUGGAGGCGUAAGAGGGGAAAUUUGCUUCAUGCAAAAAUCUCCAGAUUGUAUUUCUCUAUCUCUGGUCUUCAGGGCCAGAAAAGAGAAUAGUAAUGGGCAAAAAGGAGAAAAUGGCCUCAUAUUAAGCUCUGGCUGCAAAAAGGAGAAAAUCGCCUCAUGUUAACCCCUGGCUUUCCGAUCCCUACUGAAGGUCUUCAAGUCCUCCGGUGAGGGUAUUUGAGGUGAGAAAGUGAGUUUCAUGGACGCAGCUCCCAGUUUAUGUUUCCCUAGGGUCUUCAAGGCCUCCAAAGAGAAUAUUUCAAGGAAAAGGGAGAAAUUGGCUUCAUGCAACCAAUUUCCUGCUUCCAGUUCCCUCACUCAGGUUAUCAAGGCCCCGAUAUGUAUAACAUUUAAAAAGAGAGAGUUUGGCUUCAUGCCAAAACCUUCCAGCUCAUUUGUCCGGCUGUGGUCGACGAGACCUUCAAAGAUAGCAUAUGCAGUGAAAAAUGAUCAAUUUGCUUCAUGCAAACCAUCUCCAGCUUUUCUUUCUGCAGGGCUUUAAAGGCCUGGCAAGGGAAUGAUUGAGGUGAAAAGGGAGAAAUUUGCUUCAUGCAGUAGAUGCAUCUCCCGUUGAUUCCUCCAUUUGAGGCCUGCAAGGCUUUUGAACUGAGAAUGAAUAGAGACGAGUUGAGGUGGCAAAGGAGCCAAUUGCUUCAUGCCAAGCAUCUCCAGCUUGUAUGUCUCUCCCUGAGGUCUUCCAGGCCUUCCAGGGAAAUAUUUGAGGUGCAAAAGGAGAAGCAAACUCUAGUUUUGGUUCCUCUAGGGUCUUCAAGGCCUCCCAAGAGAACACUUGAGGUGAAAAGGGAGAAAUUGGUUUCAUUCCAAACUGUCUCUUGCCUUCUUUCUCUCAUGUCUCUAAGACCUGAGAAGAUAGUUUAUGGCAUACAAAAAGGAGAAUUUUGGUUCCUGCCAAAUCUGUUCAACUUAUUGGUCAAUCUGAGGUCUUCAAGACCAUCAAAGAGAAUGUAAGAGGCUUCCUGCCAAAAACCUCCUACUUUCCUUUCUCUCCCUGAAGUCUUCCGGACCAGAAAAGGGAAUAGUUGAGAUUGGAAAAAAAACAGGAGAAAUUUGCCUCAUGCAAGCCACCUCCCAAUUUCAUUUCUCUACCUAAGGUCCUCAAGACCAGAAAAGAGAAUAUGUUUGACAAGUCCAAAAGGGGCAAGUUUUCUUCCUGCAAAGCAUCUCCUGCUUUUGUGUCUCUACCUAAGGGCCAGAAGGAGUAAUGUAUGGGGUCCAGAAAGGAAAUCUUUUCCUGCUACAAAACCUCACCUCAUCAUUUUUUCACCUAAGGUCUUCAAGACCUGAAGAGAAACUACAUGAACUGGAAAAGGAGUCAUUUGCUUCAUGCGGAAACAUCUCCCGUGCCUUGGUCCACAAGAGGCCUUUAAGGCCUUUGACAAGACAAUAAAUAGAGAACAUUGGUGGUGAAAAGGAGAAAUGUGCCUCAUGCAAAACAAAUCUGCUUUCAUUUCUCUGCCCAAGGUCUUCAUGGACCUGAAAUGAGAAUCUUUGAAGUGAGAAAGGGGAGGUUUGCUCCAUGCAGAAACCUCUCCUGUUCAUUACUCUUCUUGAGGUCUUCAAGGCCUUUUAAGAACCUAAGAAUGGAGAAUAUUGGUGGAGAAAAGAGGACCCCUGCUUUAUGCAAAAAAAAAAAUCUGCUUCUGUUGUACUUUCUAAGGUCUUCAGGGCCUGAAAAGAGAAACUUGAGGUGAGAGAGGAGAAGUUUGCUUCAUGCAGAAACCUCUCCUGUUCACUUGAGGCUUUGAAGGCAUUUUAAAAUAUGAUGACUAGAGAAUAUUGGUGAUGAAAAGGAGACCUUUGCUUCAUGCAAAAAAAAAAAAAUCUCUUUCACUCUCUAAGGUCUUCAGGGCCUGAAAAGAGAAUCUUGAGGUGAGAAAGGAGAAGUUCGCUUCAUGCGGAAACCUCUCCUGUUCGUGACUCCAUUUGAGGCCUUCAAGGCCUUUGAAGAAAGAAAGAGGUGACAAAAGGAGAAAUUUGCUUCAUGCAAAUCGUCUUCUGCUUUUGUAUCUCCACCUAAGGUCUUCAAGACCUGAAAUGAGAAUUCAGGCCGUACAAAGACCAAGGGAGUUUUCUUAAUGCAUUCUCCUGCCAGGGUUUCUCCACCUAAGGUCUUCAAGGCCAUCCAAGGGUGGGGGGAAAAAAGGAGAAAUUUUCUUCAUGCAGAUCUACUUCCUGUACAGUUCUCCACCUCAGGCCUUUAAGGCCUUUUCAUGGAGAGAAAAUAGGGACCAUCUGAGGUACAGAAAAAAGCAUUGGGUUCAUGCAAAGCAUCUCCAGCUUUGAUUUCUCUCCCUGAGGUCUUGACGGCCUCAAAAGGGGUGAUUUGAGGUGAAAAAUGAGAAAUUUGCUUCAUGCAAACAAGCCCCAGCUUCUCCUUCUUUACCUAAGGUGUUCAAGGCCAUAGAAGAGAACAUCUGCAGUGAGAAUGGAGAAAUUGGCUUUAUGCAUGCAAUCUCCAGCUUUUAUUUCUCAGAGGUCUUCAAGGCCUCAAAAGAGAACAUUUGAGGCUUCAGUGGAGACAUUUGCUUCAUACUAAUGAUCUCCUACAUUGAUUUCUCUUCCUAAGGUCUUCAAGGCCGCCCAAGAGAAUCGUUGAGGUUGAAAAGCAGCAGUUGGCUUCAUGCCAACUACCUCCCGCUUUCAGUUCUCUCCGUAAGGUCUUUAGCCCCCAAAGGAGAAUAUCUGUGUGGAAGAUGGACACGUUUUCUUCAUGGAAACAACCUCCUGCUUCUGUUUCUCCCCCUGAGGGCCGGAAAAGGCAAUACGUGAGUUUCAACAAGGAGACAUUUGCUUCACGCAGACACUCUCCUGCUGAUCUGUCUAAGGUCUUCAAGACCUGAAGAGAAAAAUAUAUGAACUGGAGAAGGAGACAUUUGCUUGGUGCAGAAUCAUCUCUCUGGCAUGAGUUCAUUUCAGGUCUUCAAGGCCUUUGACUCAAGAGUGAAGAGAGAAUAUGUCAUUUGAAAAUGGGGGAAUUUACUUCAAGUCACUUUCUCCCACUUUUCUUUCCUUAGUCCAAGGUCUUCAUGGCCAGAAAAGAGAAUAUUUGGGUAUGAAAAAAGAGAAAUUUGCUUCAGUGUGCCAAAUCUCCUAUUCAUUAUGCCACAUCUCACCUAUGAAGGCGUUGCAGUUGAGAAUAUUUGGAAAAUCGCCAAUGUGCAAGAGAAAGAAUUUGCUCCCUGGGAAAAAAAUGAUCUCACUUAUUUCUCUGCCCGCGAUCUUCAAGGCCUGGCAAGAGAAUACGUAUGAGCUGGAAGAGGAGCAGUUUUGCUUCAUGCAAAAAGAUGUUCCCGUUGCUUAGUCCGCCUAAGGCCUUCAUGGCCUUUGAUUGAGAAGUUAAGAGUAGACAAGGUGGAAAAGGAGAAAUGUACUUCCAGGUCUUCAUGGCCUGAAAAGAGAGCGUCUAUGAGGUGGCAAAGGGAGAAAUUUGCUCCCUACACAAACCACCCUGAUCAUUUUUCUUACUUAGGGUCUUCAAGGCCUGAAGAGAAAACGUAUGAGCUGGAAAAGGAGAGAUGUUUCUCCUCCGGACCCAUCCCCUGUGCAUCAGUCCACCUCAGGCCUUUAAGGCCUUUGAAUUAAGAGUCAUUCUCGAAUCUGUGAGGUGAAAAACCUCCUGUUGAUUCCACUAGCUCAGGCCUUCAAGGCCCUUGAUGGUAGCAUUGAGAUGAAAAAGGAGGCAGUGGAGGUAGACCACCUGGACUGCAGUAAAGAGGAUAGAUUCCUACCCGCGGUCUAACUGGUUCCAUGCAAAAAUCUAACUGUGCAUCCUCCUGAGCUCUCUUUGGGCUCCACCCCUGGUCAUUAGGGCCUGGGCUUUGGGAGAGAGCAAAGAGGUAGGAAUGGAGUGAAGAGCUUCCUGCUAAUAAUCCCGGAAAGGGUUUUCCCUUUUAUCCUUCCACUCUGCCUGCUCUGCCCUCUUAACCGUGGACAAAGUCACCAAGCCACUCUGGGCCGUCUGACCAGAGCCCUGCAUCCUAAGAGCUGAGCUCAUCUGAUGUGGAAAUGACAGAUGAAGAAAGAGGGCCAAGCUCCACUACUCCAGAAAGGCUCCAUUUCCUCCAGAGAAAGUUCAUCUCUAGAAGAAUAGAGGAUGAAGGAAAUCAUCUGAUGGUUGGGUUUGGAGAAAAUCCGGCUACUGUUUAAGGGGAAACUGUUCUGGACCCAAGGCUCAGUCGGGGACCUCUGGUCCAGGCUAUUGGAGGGUGAUCCAAGAAAAUUUGAGGUGGAGGAGGAGGGAGGGAUUUGGCAUCAUGCCCAAUUCUUGUAAAACAUAGCUUGAUGUCAAACUUAACCUCUCCUCUGAUGAUCUCCUGCCUUGGGUCUUCAAGGCCCAGGGCCGAGUUGGGAGAAAGUAGCCUUAUGCAAAAGCGUCCUGUUUGAUACAUCAUCUCCCAUCCUGGCUACUCCGGUCUUUGUGGUGGAUGGUGGGGAUGGGGCGACGGGGGGACGGGGGCAGCUCACCCCAGAGAAACCCAUCAGGGGGCAAGAGAGAAAUUGUCUUCUUGCAGAACCUCCUGGAAAGCAUGGUCUAGCCUUCCAAGAACUCCCAAGUUUGGGCUUUAUGGCUGCACUUCUGCACCAAGCGAGUAUCCUCAUAGACCACCUGGGCUAUUUUUCUUGUGGGCCUUCUGGUUUUCAGAGAGGUUAGAGCUGCUCGAAUUUGACCAUGUUGGUUGAUUUUACCUGUGAAGAAGUCAUCCAGUACUAGAGGGAAAUACCUUUUACAAUUCUAUAGUGUUAGGUCAGGAUUACAAUUGGAAACCUGUAUGACGAAAGCACAACAGAGUCAACUCCUUGUCCUCCUGUAAAUCCUGAUUGACCAGCUCAAUGUUCAAUGGAAUGGUAUUUUUCUCUCACCCGGUUGACAUGAAAGAACUAGAAGACCUAGGCAGUCCAUCACACCAGCAAGCAUUUCGUAAGUCAAUAAAAUAGCUAAAUAGAAUUAAACUAAAUAUAAAACGCAACUCCGGGUAGCACAAUAAAAUACAAUAAAAUAGUUUAAAAUAAAAAUAACUACUAAAAUCAUUAACAUAUAAAAUAAUGACAUAUAAAUGCAUACAGCACUCAUUCCAUUGAACGUAGACGUCUGGGAAAUCUGAGGAUUAAAAAAAAAAAACCAAACCCCGGACUUGGGAAGACCAAAAAUGGGGAGCGAGGUUUAUCUCUCUGGCUUUAAUAAUGGCAUCUGCUGAAUGGCUUUAUGACCGCAAACUGACUCUAACACUAUAGACCCACCCAAAAACUCUGAGGGGAAAUUCAAUCCAAUUUCAAGGGAGUUUUGCCUGGCCUGCUAGGUUUCAGAAUGUCUGUCACCUGGAGUAUUUUGUCCCCAAGGUUUGGAUUCUAUACAGAUUUAGGGGACUGCUGUUGUGGGCUGGACCUUGCCUGUCUAUGGUCGGCCUGGUAGGACCUGAGGUAAGCGCGGGCCCGGAGGGAGAAAUGGACUAAUUCCCACAAAGGGUGGGUUGAAGGGCUAUCCUGAGGGUGGCCCUGGGAGCUGGCAAGCGUUGCCUCGAUGAACAUCAGUGCGUUUCCACCUGCCUUAGCUUUUGCAUCUGAGAAUCUGCCGGUAGGAUUUGUAUUCCGCUGCCUACAGCAAGGGGAGAAUCGAGGGUCCUAGGUCUGGAGAAAACAACUGGAGGUGAAGGUGCAGCAGAGCAAGAAGAAGAAUCCCCGCGAUUGUGCCCGCCCCGGGAGGAAUGGCCGCUGCCCCUGCGGCCCCGUCUUGUGGGGCGGGGUGGGGGGGAAGCAGGGGCAGCCUGGUAAGAGGGGCCGGAGGGAGGAGGGAUGUCACGGACCAGGCCUGCGGAGGUGGGACGGAGGGUCUGAGCCCGCUGCAGCACUGCCACUCGGUGCCCCCUGAUCAUCAGUGGGAGGUCCACUGCAGGGGGGACAGUGGCAGUGCAGGGGAGGGAGCGGCCGGGAAGAGGGUGUUGCUGGGGAUCCCUUCUCUAUCUUUUCCCCUCUUCAUUCCCCCCUCGCCCCCCCCGACGCCCCCGCUUUUCUUCCAGCCACUUCCAUUUCUCCUUCUUCCCUUUCUUCCGUAAAAUAAAAGUUAAAAAAAGGUUGUUUCAACAGCACCUCAACGGUUCGAGGAGCACAUCCCUCCAGCCAAGCCAGCUCUAGCUUCUUCCCGGACUGGAUUUGCAACAGCCCCAGAGAACAACCACCUGAAGCGUUCCUGUCUCCAGCCCAACGCCACACCAGCCCGGACCCAAGCCUCCGCAUGUCUUCUGGGAUCUGAAGUUGCCUCUCAGCCCUCCAGCCAAGCCAGCUCUAACUUCUUCCUGGACUGGACUUGCAACCGCCCGAGGGAACAGCAACCUGAAGCACUCCUGACUCCACCCCAGCCCCACACCAGCCCAGACCCGAGCCUCAGCUUGUCUUCUGAGGCCGGCCCGGAGAUCCCUCUGACCAGCCCUGCCACCCACACUUGAGCCCUGCCCCUGGCCUCACCCUACCCCCUUUCACUUAAUCCACCCCUCCCCCUUCCAGAAUUUCCAAGAAAACCUUUACUUGGUCCAAACUCUAUGUUAAUAAAUAAAAAUCGUUCAUAUCCCAUCUGAAA